This 813-nucleotide long non-coding RNA is filed under the name Homo sapiens (human). Lineage: Eukaryota; Metazoa; Chordata; Mammalia; Primates; Hominidae. The record is from RNAcentral.
CCAGAGUAGCUGGGACUACAGGCGCCCGCCACCGCGCCCAGCUAAUUUUUUGUAUUUUUAGUAGAGACGGGAUUUCACCGUGUUAGCCAGGAUGGUCUCGACCUACUGACCUCGUAAUCCGCCCGCCUCAGCAUCCCAAAGUGCUGGGAUUACAGGCAUGAGCCACCGCUCCCGGCCCGGCAGGCCCCCUAGAAGAUGCCAAUCAAAAUAAACUGCAUUCUUGAGACACAGGGCAAGAAAUUAAAGCUAUCCACCUCCUCAAGGCCCAGGGACUACGUGGAAGAGACAUCGAGUCAUGAAUAUGGAAUGACUUCACCUGACUUCACUUGAAAUUCACUUAAUUUUCAACUCUGUUGGCUAUGAGAAAAGGACAUCCAGGCCUCACACAAAAAUGGAUCAAUGAAUUGAAACUCACCAAAUCACCACCACCAGACAACGGGAUGCUGAGUCUCAUUCAUCAUGAUUGCUUCCUGAAGCCUUCUGAGUUCCUGUUUCCCUACACAUUGUUACAUUUCUUCCCUGCAACAUAAACCCCCAAUUUUAGUCCAUCAAGGUUAUAGAUUUGAGACUGAUCUCCCAUUUCCUUGGCUGCAACACCCAAUUAUAGCCUUCUUGGCAAUAAUUGUUGUCUCAGUGAUUGGCUUUCUUUGUGGCCAGCAGCAGGACCUAGACUGAACACCUGAUUUUCUGGUAACAGUAUAAUUUUUCUUCUUUUGUCUAUUGUGGUAGGUUACAUUGUUUGAUUUUUAAAUUAAACUGGCACUGCAUAGCUAGAGUAAAUGUGACUUUGUUGUGUUAAUUUUUAUAUGUUGU